AGUCAGUGAUGUGAUACUAUGUGUUACCUAAACCUAAAGUUGAUGUAAAUUCUAAAAUUACAGAGGACUUG
This 71-nucleotide small nucleolar RNA is filed under the name Vulpes vulpes (red fox). RNAcentral's name for it is "Small nucleolar RNA SNORD45 (ENSVVUG00000019562.1)". It matches the Rfam family "Small nucleolar RNA SNORD45". From Rfam's summary of the family: U45 belongs to the C/D class of snoRNA which contain the C (UGAUGA) and D (CUGA) box motifs. Most of the members of the box C/D family function in directing site-specific 2'-O-methylation of substrate RNAs. The record is from Rfam by way of RNAcentral. Lineage: Eukaryota; Metazoa; Chordata; Mammalia; Carnivora; Canidae.